GGCGAGAUGGCCGAGCGGUCUAAGGCGCUGUGUUAAGGUGUUCUAUUGAGCAUCCGCAGUCUUCGGACGUGGGUUCGAAUCCCACUCUCGUCA
Molecule: transfer RNA, 93 nt
Filed under: Cutaneotrichosporon oleaginosum
Lineage: Eukaryota; Fungi; Basidiomycota; Tremellomycetes; Trichosporonales; Trichosporonaceae
Description: Trichosporon oleaginosus tRNA
Rfam family: tRNA
About the family: Transfer RNA (tRNA) molecules are approximately 80 nucleotides in length. Their secondary structure includes four short double-helical elements and three loops (D, anti-codon, and T loops). Further hydrogen bonds mediate the characteristic L-shaped molecular structure. tRNAs have two regions of fundamental functional importance: the anti-codon, which is responsible for specific mRNA codon recognition, and the 3' end, to which the tRNAs corresponding amino acid is attached (by aminoacyl-tRNA synthetases). tRNAs cope with the degeneracy of the genetic code in two manners: having more than one tRNA (with a specific anti-codon) for a particular amino acid; and 'wobble' base-pairing, i.e. permitting non-standard base-pairing at the 3rd anti-codon position.
Source: Rfam by way of RNAcentral